GUCGAACGAGAAAGGGGAGCAAUCCCUGAGUAGAGUGGCGUACGGGUGAGUAACACGUGGGUAAUCUGCCCUUUGGUGGGGAAUAACCCUGGGAAACCGGGGCUAAUACCGCAUAAGUCCGAGAGGAGAAAGCAGCAAUGCGCCGAAGGAGGAGCCCGCGGCCGAUUAGCUAGUUGGUAGGGUAAAAGCCUACCAAGGCAAAGAUCGGUAGCCGGCCUGAGAGGGCACACGGCCACACUGGCACUGAAACACGGGCCAGACUCCUACGGGAGGCAGCAGUGGGGAAUCUUGCACAAUGGGGGAAACCCUGAUGCAGCGACGCCGCGUGAGCGAUGAAGCCCUUCGGGGUGUAAAGCUCUUUCGGCAGGGAAGAUGAUGACGGUACCUGCAGAAGCAGCUGCGGCUAACUACGUGCCAGCAGCCGCGGUAAUACGUAGGCAGCAAGCGUUGUUCGGAGUUACUGGGCGUAAAGGGUGUGUAGGCGGUUUGGUAAGUCUGGUGUGAAAUCUCCCGGCUCAACUGGGAGGGUGCGCCGGAAACUGCCGGACUCGAGUGCGGGAGAGGAGAGUGGAAUUCCUGGUGUAGCGGUGAAAUGCGUAGAUAUCAGGAGGAACACCGGUGGUGUAGACGGCUCUCUGGACCGUAACUGACGCUGA
This 656-nucleotide ribosomal RNA is filed under the name uncultured Acidobacteriota bacterium. RNAcentral's name for it is "bacterial SSU rRNA". It matches the Rfam family "Bacterial small subunit ribosomal RNA", at positions 61 to 749 of the family's 1533-position model. The record is from RNAcentral. Lineage: Bacteria; Pseudomonadati; Acidobacteriota.